GGUCGGAUAAGGCGUUUACGCCGCAUCCGACAGUCGAGCAUCAAUGCCUGAUGCGCCUCUUAUCAGGCC
This 69-nucleotide non-coding RNA is filed under the name Escherichia coli. Its description in RNAcentral is "naRNA4". It matches the Rfam family "Nucleoid-associated noncoding RNA 4 (CssrE)". Rfam says of the family: In E. coli small RNA transcribed from repeated extragenic palindromic element (REP325) called nucleoid-associated ncRNA 4 (nRNA4) collaborates HU protein in condensing the DNA. The secondary structure but not the sequence of the RNA is important in nucleoid condensation. Lineage: Bacteria; Pseudomonadati; Pseudomonadota; Gammaproteobacteria; Enterobacterales; Enterobacteriaceae. The record is from RNAcentral.